GACGAACGCUGGCGGCGUGCUUAACACAUGCAAGUCGAACGAUGACGACCGAGCUUGCUCGGUCUGAUUAGUGGCGAACGGGUGAGUAACACGUGAGCAACCUGCCCUUCACUCUGGGAUAACCUCGGGAAAUCGGGGCUAAUAACGGAUAUGAGCUCCUGUCGCAUGGCGGGUGUUGGAAAGUUUUUCGGUGAAGGAUGGGCUCGCGGCCUAUCAGUUUGUUGGUGAGGUAGUGGCUCACCAAGGCGAUGACGGGUAGCCGGCCUGAGAGGGCGACCGGCCACACUGGGACUGAGACACGGCCCAGACUCCUACGGGAGGCAGCAGUGGGGAAUAUUGCACAAUGGGCGAAAGCCUGAUGCAGCGACGCCGCGUGAGGGAUGACGGCCUUCGUGUUGUAAACCCCUUUCAGCAGGGAAGAAGCGAAAGUGACGGUACCUGCAGAAGAAGCGCCGGCUAACUACGUG
This 467-nucleotide ribosomal RNA is filed under the name uncultured bacterium. RNAcentral's name for it is "partial 16S ribosomal RNA". It matches the Rfam family "Bacterial small subunit ribosomal RNA", at positions 28 to 507 of the family's 1533-position model. The record is from RNAcentral.